RNAcentral lists this ribosomal RNA (463 nucleotides) under uncultured bacterium. Its description in RNAcentral is "partial 16S ribosomal RNA". It matches the Rfam family "Bacterial small subunit ribosomal RNA", at positions 28 to 507 of the family's 1533-position model. The record is from RNAcentral.
GACGAACGCUGGCGGCGUGCUUAACACAUGCAAGUCGAACGGUGAACCUCUUCGGAGGGGAUCAGUGGCGAACGGGUGAGUAACACGUGGGCAACCUGCCCCCGGCUCUGGGAUAACUCCAAGAAAUUGGGGCUAAUACCGGAUGUUCACCGCUUCCCGCAUGGGUGGUGGUGGAAAGAGUUUCCGGCUGGGGAUGGGCCCGCGGCCUAUCAGCUUGUUGGUGGGGUAGUGGCCUACCAAGGCGACGACGGGUAGCCGGCCUGAGAGGGUGACCGGCCACACUGGGACUGAGACACGGCCCAGACUCCUACGGGAGGCAGCAGUGGGGAAUAUUGCGCAAUGGGCGGAAGCCUGACGCAGCGACGCCGCGUGGGGGAUGACGGCCUUCGGGUUGUAAACCUCUUUCAGCAGGGACGAAGCGCAAGUGACGGUACCUGCAGAAGAAGCACCGGCCAACUACGUG